UAAGAAAACGGUUCCCCAUUA
This 21-nucleotide non-coding RNA is filed under the name Caenorhabditis elegans. The record is from RNAcentral. Lineage: Eukaryota; Metazoa; Nematoda; Chromadorea; Rhabditida; Rhabditidae.